Molecule: ribosomal RNA, 253 nt
Filed under: uncultured bacterium
Lineage: Bacteria
Description: partial 16S ribosomal RNA
Rfam family: Bacterial small subunit ribosomal RNA
Source: RNAcentral
UACGUAGGGGGCAAGCGUUGUCCGGAUUUAUUGGGCGUAAAGAGCGUGUAGGCGGUUUGGUAGGUCCGCUGUGAAAACUCGAGGCUCAACCUCGAGACGCCGGUGGAAACCAUCAGACUAGAGUCCGGAAGAGGAGAGUGGAAUUCCUGGUGUAGCGGUGAAAUGCGCAGAUAUCAGGAAGAACACCCGUGACUAAGGCGGCUCUCUAGUACGGUACUGACGCUGAGACGCGAAAGCGUGGGGAGCGAACAGG